GACGAACGCUGGCGGCGUGCUUAACACAUGCAAGUCGAACGAGACGAUUGAAAGCUUGCUUUCGAAAGUCGAGUGGCAAACGGGUGAGUAACGCGUAGACAACCUGCCUUUGAGAUGGGGACAACAGUUCGAGAGGACUGCUAAUACCGAAUGUUGUAUAUUUUCCACAUGGAAGAUAUAUUAAAGAUGGCCUCUAUUUAUAAGCUAUCGCUCAAAGAUGGGUCUGCGUCUGAUUAGCUAGUUGGUGGGGUAACGGCCUACCAAGGCGACGAUCAGUAGCCGGGCUGAGAGGAUGAACGGCCACAUUGGGACGGAGACACGGCCCAGACUCCUACGGGAGGCAGCAGUGGGGAAUCUUCCACAAUGGACGAAAGUCUGAUGGAGCAACGCCGCGUGAGUGAAGAAGGGUUUCGGCUCGUAAAGCUCUGUUGUCGGGGACGAAUGUGCAUUACUUGAAUAAAGUAGUGUAAUGACGGUACCUGACGAGGAAGCCACGGCUAACUACGUGCCAGCAGCCGCAGUAA
This 524-nucleotide ribosomal RNA is filed under the name uncultured bacterium. Its description in RNAcentral is "partial 16S ribosomal RNA". It matches the Rfam family "Bacterial small subunit ribosomal RNA", at positions 28 to 523 of the family's 1533-position model. The record is from RNAcentral.